CCUACGGGAGGCAGCAGUGGGGAAUAUUGCACAAUGGGCGCAAGCCUGAUGCAGCCAUGCCGCGUGUAUGAAGAAGGCCUUCGGGUUGUAAAGUACUUUCAGUCGUGAGGAAGGUGUUAAGGUUAAUAACCUUAGCAAUUGACGUUAGCGACAGAAGAAGCACCGGCUAACUCCGUGCCAGCAGCCGCGGUAAUACGGAGGGAGCGAGCGUUAAUCGGAAUUACUGGGCGUAAAGGGCACGCAGGCGGUUAAUUAGGUGGUAUGUAAAAUCCCCGGGCUUAAACUGGGAAUAGCAUUCAAGACUGGUUAGCUAGAGUCUUAUAGAAGGGGGUAGAAUUCCAUGGGUAGCGGUGAAAUGCGUAGAGAUGUGGAGGAAUACCGGUGGCGAAGGCGACCCAAUGGACAAAGACUGACGCUCAUGUGCGAAAGCGUGGGAAGCAAACAGUAGUAGAUACCCCGUUAGUC
Molecule: ribosomal RNA, 465 nt
Filed under: uncultured Arsenophonus sp.
Lineage: Bacteria; Pseudomonadati; Pseudomonadota; Gammaproteobacteria; Enterobacterales; Morganellaceae
Description: bacterial SSU rRNA
Rfam family: Bacterial small subunit ribosomal RNA
Source: RNAcentral